AUUGAACGCUGGCGGCAGGCCUAACACAUGCAAGUCGAGCGGAUGAAGGGAGCUUGCUCCUGGAUUCAGCGGCGGACGGGUGAGUAAUGCCUAGGAAUCUGCCUGGUAGUGGGGGAUAACGUCCGGAAACGGGCGCUAAUACCGCAUACGUCCUGAGGGAGAAAGUGGGGGAUCUUCGGACCUCACGCUAUCAGAUGAGCCUAGGUCGGAUUAGCUAGUUGGUGGGGUAAAGGCCUACCAAGGCGACGAUCCGUAACUGGUCUGAGAGGAUGAUCAGUCACACUGGAACUGAGACACGGUCCAGACUCCUACGGGAGGCAGCAGUGGGGAAUAUUGGACAAUGGGCGAAAGCCCGAUCCAGCCAUGCCGCGUGUGCGAAGAAGGUCUUCGGAUUGUAAAGCACUUUAAGUUGGGAGGAAGGGCAGUAAGUUAAUACCUUGCUGUUUUGACGUUACCAACAGAAUAAGCACCGGCUAACUUCGUG
Molecule: ribosomal RNA, 484 nt
Filed under: uncultured bacterium
Lineage: Bacteria
Description: partial 16S ribosomal RNA
Rfam family: Bacterial small subunit ribosomal RNA
Source: RNAcentral